RNAcentral lists this small RNA (322 nucleotides) under Histoplasma ohiense. Its description in RNAcentral is "hypothetical lncRNA". The record is from RNAcentral. Lineage: Eukaryota; Fungi; Ascomycota; Eurotiomycetes; Onygenales; Ajellomycetaceae.
CCUCCGUCCAAAGAAAGAAAAUAAAUAGGGAUUUGUGCUGCGCGGACUUGCUUUUUGAAAAAUGAAAAAGAAUGAAACAGGGCCAAAGUUCCACCUAGUGCCAGCGCCGCAUUUCCCCAAGCGGCCGCCACAGCACAGCGCCACUUCCAUCACCAUCCGAGAAAAAGAAAAAUAGAAAAAAAAAAAAAAAAGGGAAAAGCAAAAAGUAAAUGGCGAUAGCGCGCGCUGCAGAGUGUGAGAGGGAGCCAGUCCGAUCCAACGGAAGAUCGACACCACGCCAUGGAUGGGCUUGGCGGCCUGGGGCACGACGGGCACGGGGAAG